CCUCCUCCACCGCCGCCAGCACCGGGGCUGCAGCCCGUGCUGCUGCUGCUGCUGCUGCUGCUACUGGCGAGAACCUUGCCAGCUGCAGCCGCGGAGGUAUGUGAAGACUUAUGCUCCGGGGUGGGGGGAGCUAUAGACAUAAAUCGGAUUGUCCCCCCCAAUACUUCUGCUGGUGUUUCCUCCACUCUCACGCGAGACAAAAUAAAUCGGAGUCAGUUUCACGAUCCCUGAGAUUCUGAGUUCAUUUACUCCAGAUUUAUACAGGUGUAGCCUUAUUGACUUCAGUGAUAUCUCAGUAUCACUGCGAGUAGACUCAGGCCAAUAGCUCCGGGACUAGUUGCGCUGAACACUAUAGAACGCUAUUUUGUGCCACUGGAGCGCAACGCCACACCAUCCGAGCAUAUUUCCUCAUCAGCUAGAUAAUUCACCAGUAGUGGAGACUGUGAGAGCAUCUUUCAGCGGUAGCAGAUUUACACAUCAAGAGAAACCAUGUUUCCCCUUCCCGCUCUGAAGUUUGCAAAGCCACUACAGGAUGCAGUUAACUAUGCAUCCCCGUAAAUGCCCAAGUGAUAAAAAAGCUACAUUUUGUUUUUCAGCAUUGAGAGUGCAGCUUUUGCAAACCAAUGCACUAUAUAAAGUAGA
Long non-coding RNA from Malaclemys terrapin pileata, 642 nucleotides. RefSeq lists it as uncharacterized. The record is from RefSeq and is a predicted model, not a curated record. The transcript has 3 exons. Lineage: Eukaryota; Metazoa; Chordata; Testudines; Emydidae.